Pongo abelii (Sumatran orangutan) is the source of this 331-nucleotide non-coding RNA. NCBI's taxonomy places the organism in Eukaryota, Metazoa, Chordata, Mammalia, Primates, Hominidae. The record is from Rfam.
GGAUGUGAAGGCAAUCUGGCUGUGACAUCUGUCACCCCAUUGAUCGUCAGGGUUGAUUUGGCUGAUGUAGCUGGCUAGGCGUGUGUCCCCUUCCUCCCUCACUGCUCCAUGUGCAUUCUUCCUGAAGCUGCAUGCUUGGCAGAAGAGGACAACCAUCCUUGAUAGAGAAAGACGCAUCUUCCGUCAAGGGUAUACGAGUAGCUGUGUUCCCCUGCUAGAACCUCCAAACAAGCUUUAAGGUCUAUUUGUAGGAGGACGUGGGUAGUAAGGCUUCCAAGACUCCAGACACACCCCAGUGAGGCACUGGAUGAGGCAGCAGUCUACCUUUGUG